UAGGGAAUCUUGCGCAAUGGGCGAAAGCCUGACGCAGCCAUGCCGCGUGAAUGAUGAAGGUCUUAGGAUUGUAAAAUUCUUUCACCGGGGAAGAUAAUGACGGUACCCGGAGAAGAAGCCCCGGCUAACUUCGUGCCAGCAGCCGCGGUAAUACGAAGGGGGCUAGCGUUGCUCGGAAUUACUGGGCGUAAAGGGCGCGUAGGCGGAUAUUUAAAGUUGGGGGGUGAAAAGCCCGGGGCUCAACCUCGGAAUAGCCUUCAAUACUGGAUAUCUUGAGUUCGGGAGAGGUGAGUGGAAUGCCGAGUGUAGAGGUGAAAUUCGUAGAUAUUCGGCGGAACACCAGUGGCGAAGGCGACUCACUGGCCCGAUACUGACGCUGAGGCGCGAAAAGCGUGGGGAGCAAACAGGAUUAGAUACCCUGGUAGUCCACGCCGCUAAACGAAUGAGUGCUAGUUGUCGGCAUGCAUGCAUGUCGGUGACGCAGCUAACGCAUUAAGCACUCCG
Molecule: ribosomal RNA, 504 nt
Filed under: uncultured bacterium
Lineage: Bacteria
Description: partial 16S ribosomal RNA
Rfam family: Bacterial small subunit ribosomal RNA
Source: RNAcentral